GACGCUAUGAAGCAAAGACGCUGAAAUUGGAGCAAUGACGCUGGCGGCGCUGGUAUGACAGAAAAAGACGCAAUGCACGCACUCUUGGCAGCCUUCAGGAAUAAGAGACACUUUGCCAUGAAAAGGGGCGUGGUUUAGCCAAAUUGAGCACACCAUGUUAUACUUCCACCAUGGAACGGAACAGUUACGGAAAGGAGAUAUGGUGGGUGGUCAGUCAAUCAGAGCAAUUCCGUUUCAGUUCCGUUCCGAUUUUUGACGACUGGGCUCCCCACGUAUGAAUGUUUGACGUAACGGAAUUAAAACGGAAAAAUUAACCUCACUUUCGUGAAAUGUUUUCGCAGACAACACGUGUCCCAAGUGAGAAACAAAUUUAAAAAAUAUUUUUCUGUCGAUUGUAUCAGUAUUUUUAUGUUCAAGGAGCAUGUCGUCAUUGAUGCUGUUGGAGAGACGCUAGAUAUUGAUGUGUAAUUAUCAUCGGAGAUAAGAGUGCCAUUGUCGUCAAAAUUGUCAAAGUUGUCAUUUGAUGUAGCAUUUGAUGUAGAAGGAAUAUUGGAAACUUGAUUUUCAACUACUGAUUUUUUCAAGGAUGUAACGGUUCUAAAAUAAACGAUAGGAAGUUAUUAUGAUAUAAUACAA
Molecule: long non-coding RNA, 636 nt
Organism: Solenopsis invicta (red fire ant)
Lineage: Eukaryota; Metazoa; Arthropoda; Insecta; Hymenoptera; Formicidae
Exons: 3
Source: RefSeq, a predicted model, not a curated record